GCCUCUUUAGCUCAGUUGAUUAGAGCGCUGCACCGAAAUCGCAGGGCGUAGGUUCAAUUCCUACCAGAGGAC
RNAcentral lists this transfer RNA (72 nucleotides) under Paramuricea clavata. It matches the Rfam family "tRNA". Rfam says of the family: Transfer RNA (tRNA) molecules are approximately 80 nucleotides in length. Their secondary structure includes four short double-helical elements and three loops (D, anti-codon, and T loops). Lineage: Eukaryota; Metazoa; Cnidaria; Anthozoa; Malacalcyonacea; Plexauridae. The record is from Rfam by way of RNAcentral.